RNAcentral lists this ribosomal RNA (484 nucleotides) under uncultured bacterium. RNAcentral describes it as "bacterial SSU rRNA". It matches the Rfam family "Bacterial small subunit ribosomal RNA", at positions 96 to 564 of the family's 1533-position model. The record is from RNAcentral.
CGGCGGAUGGGUGAGUAGCACAUGGGCAACCUGCCUGUAAGAUUGGGAUAACUCGCGGAAACGUGAGCUAAUACCAAAUAAUCCUUUACAUCUCCUGAUGUUUAGGUAAAAGGCGGCAUUUUGCUGUCACUUACAGAUGGGCCCGUGGCGCAUUAGCUAGUUGGUGGGAUAAAAGCCUACCAAGGCAACGAUGCGUAGCCGACCUGAGAGGGUGAUCGGCCACACUGGGACUGAGACACGGCCCAGACUCCUACGGGAGGCAGCAGUAGGGAAUCUUCCGCAAUGGACGCAAGUCUGACGGAGCAACGCCGCGUGAGUGACGAAGGUCUUCGGAUCGUAAAACUCUGUUGUUAGGGAAGAACAUGUAUCGUUCGAAUAGGGCGGUACCUUGACGGUACCUAACCAGAAAGCCCCGGCUAACUACGUGCCAGCAGCCGCGGUAAUACGUAGGGGGCAAGCGUUGUCCGGAAUUAUUGGGCGUAAA